AUUGAACGCUGGCGGCAGGCCUAACACAUGCAAGUCGAGCGGAUGAAGGGAGCUUGCUCCUGGAUUCAGCGGCGGACGGGUGAGUAAUGCCUAGGAAUCUGCCUGGUAGUGGGGGCUAACGUCCGGAAACGGGCGCUAAUACCGCAUACGUCCUGAGGGAGAAAGUGGGGGAUCUUCGGACCUCACGCUAUCAGAUGAGCCUAGGUCGGAUUAGCUAGUUGGUGGGGUAAAGGCCUACCAAGGCGACGAUCCGUAACUGGUCUGAGAGGAUGAUCAGUCACACUGGAACUGAGACACGGUCCAGACUCCUACGGGAGGCAGCAGUGGGGAAUAUUGGACAAUGGGCGAAAGCCUGAUUCAGCCAUGCCGCGUGUGUGAAGAAGGUCUUCGGAUUGUAAAGCACUUUAAGUUGGGAGGAAGGGCAGUAAGUUAAUACCUUGCUGUUUUGACGUUACCAACAGAAUAAGCACCGGCUAACUUCGUG
RNAcentral lists this ribosomal RNA (484 nucleotides) under uncultured bacterium. Its description in RNAcentral is "partial 16S ribosomal RNA". It matches the Rfam family "Bacterial small subunit ribosomal RNA", at positions 30 to 507 of the family's 1533-position model. The record is from RNAcentral.